CCUACGGGAGUCAGCAGUGGGGAAUAUUGGGCAAUGGGCGCAAGCCUGACCCAGCAACGCCGCGUGAAGGAAGAAGGCUCUCGGGUUGUAAACUUCUUUUAUCAUGGACGAAGCAAGUGACGGUACCUGAUGAAUCAGCCACGGCUAACUACGUGCCAGCAGCCGCGGUAAUACGUAGGUGGCAAGCGUAAUACGGAUUUAUUGGGUUUAAAGGGUGCGCAGGCGGAAGAUCAAGUGAGCGGUAAAAUUGAGAGGCUCAACCUCUUCGAGCCGUUGAAACUGGUUUUCUUGAGUGAGCGAGAAGUAUGCGGAAUGCGUGGUGUAGCGGUGAAAGGCAUAGAUAUCACGCAGAACUCCGAUUGCGAAGGCAGCAUACCGGCGCUCAACUGACGCUCAUGCACGAAAGUGUGGGUAUCGAACAGGAUUAGAUACCCCGGUAGUC
Molecule: ribosomal RNA, 442 nt
Filed under: uncultured bacterium
Lineage: Bacteria
Description: partial 16S ribosomal RNA
Rfam family: Bacterial small subunit ribosomal RNA
Source: RNAcentral